This 649-nucleotide long non-coding RNA is filed under the name Equus caballus (horse). RNAcentral's name for it is "lncRNA (ENSECAG00000048387.1)". Lineage: Eukaryota; Metazoa; Chordata; Mammalia; Perissodactyla; Equidae. The record is from RNAcentral.
GGUCAUUCUAUCCCUGGUUAGAACUAUUUCCUGUCAUUCUCCCCCAGUUUAAGGGAUAUAAAAUAUGCUCCUGUGUUGGAUGCACUCACCUUCUACCACUAAACUGGAAAAAAAGCCAAGAGAACCUGUGACUAUGCAAACAAAGGAGUACUUUUCUUCUCACACUUCCACUUACAAAUAACCAGAACCUCAGAAGAUAUAUGAAGCUUUCAAUCCAGUUGGAAAGUCAAGACUGACAGAGUAACCCAGGAAUACAUGAAUGCUUGCAGUAAUUGAUCAGCAUGUACAAAAGAAAGCCAGUGUAGGAAAAAGGCUGAGCGUGUCUGGAUAUCCUCGAACCAGAACUACCCAAGCUUCCUGAACUGCUGAUUUUUCUUUUUACAACGUCAAGCAACAAGCCAUACGGAUACAGGAGCAGGUGAUGCCAAAACGGAAUAUUUUAAAAUAACAUUGUCACACAGUCAGAUACCUUCUAACCCAUUCCCUCACUGCUGUUGGCUUAUGAAUAAUUUCAAGAGUUUGUACAUAACUCUGAUCAAAAUAACCUUAUGUUGUGUUGGACCGAAAUAUUUUAAGUUUAGUCUUAAGAAGUCAAACAAUGUAGAUACAGUUGACAGCCUCUAUAUAUCCCUCUUCAAAGAAAUUUCCC